Molecule: RNA transcript, 1466 nt
Organism: Setaria italica (foxtail millet)
Lineage: Eukaryota; Viridiplantae; Streptophyta; Magnoliopsida; Poales; Poaceae
Exons: 1
Source: RefSeq, a predicted model, not a curated record
CUAAAAGGGUAUAGACAAUCCAAUCAAAUACGAAUUGAUAGAUCAUGCAUUCUUCUAUGUCUAUGCGAAAUUUGAGCUUGAACGAAAAAUUUUGUACCAGAGAAAUCAGCACGGUGGAGAUGAACACGACUGUGGAUUCGCAAUGUCAUGGACCGGGAAACACGCACAUUCUUUUUUUUUGUCUCAUCAUUUUAUCCCAGGCAGAUGGCAGCCAUGAGCCCAUCAUGACCUGAUCGAGAGCUAAAGCUUGCGGCUUUGCAUCGUCAAUGGAUUCUGAAGAAUGCAGGGGCCAAUCUGCCCAGCGGUUUGUGUUUGUUCCAGCGAAGAACCAACCACCUUCUGGCAGCUACCUAAAAAUUUACUAAUAUAUAUGUCAAUUCAGUCGGUCGGUCGAGCAUGAAUGAGAUCAUCAAAUUGGCAAAUUGCGAUGCACGACCAAGCAAGCCUUCAUCUCGCCCCCCAAAAAUAGUGUUAACCUCGCAAUCGCUAGCUGCCAUUGGUAAAGAUUAGCGACCUUCAUGCAUUGGAGCAGAGCGGCAGCCGGCAGGUGAGGUCAGAGCGCAUAAGACCGGCACGUAGGCCGCCGCGCGCGCGGGGCCGGGAAUGGACGCGCUGCACCUGCACGUAGCCGUGGCCGGGCGCGCGGUGGCCGUGGUCGAGCGCGAUGGCACGCACGACCCGACCACCGGCCGCGUGCUCACCGGGUCCUGGCUCUGGGACUCCUCCCUCGUCCUCGCCUCCCACCUCGCCGCCGACGCCUCCGCUCGGCUCCACCUCCGCAGCGCCACCGUCCUCGAGCUCGGCGCCCGCGGCACGGGCCUCCCGGGCACGCGGCCGUCGCCUGCCUCGGCGCCGCAUGCUGCGUGCUCACGGACGUGCGGCCGCUGCUGCCGAGCUGAGCCUCAGAGCCAACGCCGAGGCCAACGGGCUCGCCGCCGCGCAGGCCGACGUGCGCGAGCUCCGGUAGGGCGACCGGCUAGAGGACCAGCUGCGGGUGGACGUGGUGCUCAUGUCGGACGUGUUCUACGACCCGGACAUGCCGGCGAUGGCGGCCACGCUGCGGGGCUUGUGGAGGGACGGUGCCGGCGGCGGCGGCACGGUCGGGUGGGCGGCGAGCGAGGUGCGGGACAGCAUGAUGGACUGCAUGGACGUGCUGCGGGAACAGGGCUUCGAGGUAGACGAGGUCGACAGGGUCACCAGGCCGCUGCUGCACGACCCCGAUCAGACCGCCGCCUUCGCCGUCUAUCGCGUCUCACUCCGACAACAAGAGGAGGGAGUUGACUUUGAUUAUUCCCCAAGCUGCUAAAAUGUCCCACUUCACCUUUAAAACUGACAUCUGUGCAGAAGUCAUUUUCACCCGAAUUGGUAACUCAGUCCGGGUUGAAUUGAGUGCAACAAUUGUAUUGUACUGUACAGGACACCUUGCUAAGUCUUUUUUUUUUUGACAAGUUUUAAUUCCUUUUUGC